UACGUAGGGUGCAGGCGUUAAUCGGAAUUACUGGGCGUAAAGCGUGCGCAGGCGGUUUGUUAAGACAGGUGUGAAAUCCCCGGGCUUAACCUGGGAAUUGCGCUUGUUACUGGCAGACUUGAGUGUGGCAGAGGGGGGUGGAAUUCCAAGUGUAGCAGUGAAAUGCGUAGAUAUUUGGAGGAACACCGAUGGCGAAGGCAGCCCCCUGGGUCAACACUGACGCUCGUGCACGAAAGCGUGGGGAGCAAACAGG
This 253-nucleotide unclassified non-coding RNA is filed under the name uncultured Gammaproteobacteria bacterium. RNAcentral's name for it is "contains 16S-23S intergenic spacer region". It matches the Rfam family "Bacterial small subunit ribosomal RNA", at positions 524 to 776 of the family's 1533-position model. The record is from RNAcentral. Lineage: Bacteria; Pseudomonadati; Pseudomonadota; Gammaproteobacteria.